This 493-nucleotide ribosomal RNA is filed under the name Yamadazyma mexicana. RNAcentral's name for it is "eukaryotic LSU rRNA". It matches the Rfam family "Eukaryotic large subunit ribosomal RNA", at positions 41 to 646 of the family's 3401-position model. Lineage: Eukaryota; Fungi; Ascomycota; Pichiomycetes; Serinales; Debaryomycetaceae. The record is from RNAcentral.
UAUCAUUAAGCGGAGCAAACGGGUCCCUGCAUAGCUCCUAAGCUGGUAACUUGGAGGAUCCGUUUCUUUGGUUUUGGCUCUCGUCUAUGUUCCUUGGAACAGGACGUCACAGAGGGUGAGAAUCCCGUGCGAUGAGAUGCCCAAUUCCAUGUAAAGUUCCUUCGACGAGUCGAGUUGUUUGGGAAUGCAGCUCUAAGUGGGUGGUAAAUUCCAUCUAAAGCUAAAUAUUGGCGAGAGACCGAUAGCGAACAAGUACUGUGAAGGAAAGAUGAAAAGAACUUUGAAAAGAGAGUGAAAAAGUACGUGAAAUUGUUGAAAGGGAAGGGCUUGAGGUCAGACUUGGUUUUACCAGGCCAGCAUCAGUUUGGAUGGCAGGAUAAUAGCUUAGGAAUGUGGCACUGCUUCGGUAGUGUGUUAUAGCCUGGGUUGAUACUGCCUGUCUAGACUGAGGACUGCGUCUUUGACUAGGAUGCUGGCAUAAUGACCUUAAGCC